RNAcentral lists this unclassified non-coding RNA (263 nucleotides) under plant metagenome. RNAcentral describes it as "partial contains small subunit ribosomal RNA, internal transcribed spacer 1, and 5.8S ribosomal RNA". The record is from RNAcentral.
UUUCCGUAGGUGAACCUGCGGAAGGAUCAUUAUUGUAUAACCGAGGUGCGAGGGCUGUCGCUGACCCGAAAGGUCGUGCACGCCCGAGUGCCCUCACACACAUCCAUCUCACCCCUAUGUGCACCACCGCGUGGGUCCCCCUUUGGCUUGUUCGGAGGGGGGCUUACGUUUUCACACAAACUUUGUAUGCAGUGUAGAAUGAAUUUUUUGUUUUUGCGAUCACGCAAUCAAUACAACUUUCAACAACGGAUCUCUUGGCUCUU